CCCCCACAAGUAUUUUAUCAGACAUUUUUCUCUCGCCCUAGCUUUUCUCUCUGCAACAGAAGACGAACAGCUUCCUUCCUCCAUCUAUGAAGAGACAUUGAUAGGGAGGAGUUUAAUAAAGUCAUGGCUUUGAUGAAUCUCAAAGCAAACAAAACCAGGAUGGCCACAGGGUCAAAGUUUCUGUAGAAGACGGAGGCCUACUUGAGCACUUCUUUGGCAAAGAUGGCAAAAAAAGUCUCACACACAGAGGCGGACCUACUAAGGCACAAAGCGGUGCAGCUGCUCCUUCUCUCGCCGGAAAAACCAUUCUAGGCGCUUGAAAUUGCCCCUUUGCUCAACUGGUGUACAGAUUACCUUAUUUCCAUCUUCAACAUUUAAGUGUGAAGUUUGGUGUCGUUAUGACUACAUUUUAAUACAUAAUUUUUUUUGGGGCUUCCCAUGAGCCGAGGCCUAGGGCGGUUGCACCUUCAAUCAUGGCUUAGGCCAGCUCUGAACACGAGCAAACCUGUUCGUUUAAUUCUUGCCAUUUUAUCUUCAUGUGACAAUCGGAGAUGCUAUUUAUAAUUACAAACUAUGAAUUAAAAGCGUUAGUUAUGCAGAUUUAUGUGUAAAUACAAUUUUUUAUUUAUUAGAAUCAGAUAAUAUGUCAAAGUCGAUUGCCUACUA
Non-coding RNA from Prunus avium (sweet cherry), 666 nucleotides. NCBI's taxonomy places the organism in Eukaryota, Viridiplantae, Streptophyta, Magnoliopsida, Rosales, Rosaceae. The record is from RefSeq and is a predicted model, not a curated record.